This 434-nucleotide ribosomal RNA is filed under the name uncultured bacterium. RNAcentral's name for it is "partial 16S ribosomal RNA". It matches the Rfam family "Bacterial small subunit ribosomal RNA", at positions 29 to 507 of the family's 1533-position model. The record is from RNAcentral.
AGCGAACGCUGGCGGCAGGCCUAACACAUGCAAGUCGAACGAACCCUUCGGGGUUAGUGGCGGACGGGUGAGUAACACGUGGGAACGUGCCUUUAGGUUCGGAAUAACUCAGGGAAACUUGUGCUAAUACCGAAUGUGCCCUUCGGGGGACAGAUUUAUCGCCUUUAGAACGGCCCGCGUCUGAUUAGCUAGUUGGUUGAGGUAAUGGCGCACCAAGGCGACGAUCAGUAGCUGGUCUGAGAGGAUGAUCAGCCACAUUGGGACUGAGACACGGCCCAAACUCCUACGGGAGGCAGCAGUGGGGAAUCUUGCGCAAUCGGCGAUAUCAUGACGCAGCCAUGCCGCGUGAAUGAUGAAGGUGUUAGGAUUGUAAAAUUCUUUCACCGGGGACGAUAAUGACGGUACCCGGAGAAGAAGCCCCGGCUAACUUCGUG